UGGCUGCUGCGCUUCCACUGCUCAACUGGAAAGAGCAAGCAAACCAUUUCUGGGGUGUAUCCAUGGUUUUCCACCUUGAAAGGAGUCAGCUUCUGGUCUGGGGUCGCAUCCUACAAGUUUGUGUCCAAAUUUGGCAUCUCACUCUGCAUUACUCCCACCUCGGCAGCAGCUGAUGUUCCCCGGCAUGUGGACCUCUCCACUCCCACCAGAGUAAGGUCUUCCCAAGGGCUCUCUUGACAUCAAAGAUGAAACAUCUGCAAGGACACAUAAAGUGCUCCCGUUACGGCUGGUACCAGUCUGAGCCAGGCGCCUGGGGGAGACUCGAAGGGGGAGACGUGGCUUCCGUGUGCGAUGCAGCCGAGUGCUGGUGCCUCUCCCCGG
Aquila chrysaetos chrysaetos is the source of this 381-nucleotide long non-coding RNA. RefSeq lists it as uncharacterized. The transcript is spliced from 2 exons. NCBI's taxonomy places the organism in Eukaryota, Metazoa, Chordata, Aves, Accipitriformes, Accipitridae. The record is from RefSeq and is a predicted model, not a curated record.